CAAGUGGGGAAGGAUCUCUUUCUGGAGAUCCCUCCUUUUGGAGUUGUCUAGCAAGCCCCGGAUAAGGGAAUUUUUGUGGAGGAGGAUGGAUUCUUCUCCACCGAAGAAGCUCCAGCUUCUAGAGAGCAGCAGCAAGCUCAAGCCAAUGCAUGUAGACCCACUGGAGGGCAAUGUUGAGCCCAUGGAGGUGUACCUACCUCCACAGGGUGAACAGAUGAAAGUAGAUCUAUCGCUAUCAGGCCUGGGCAAGCACAUCAUGCUUGCCCAGAAACAUCUCUAUAUCCAUUGGUGGUGCAGCAGGAGCUCUCUAUUUCUAUCUUGGUGUUGAAGAGUCGCCGAAGAGCUUCUGCUCUCUAGAGUCCUUUUUUUUCCUCUGUCCCCCGUCCUCAUCCUUCCUUGAGACCUCUCACCUCUUCUUUCCCAAGCUCUGAGGAAAAGAGAAGGACUGAGACUGGUGUCCUCUAAGCUUCUGCACAGAGAAAACAGGAGUCCAGUGGAUGGCCCCCAGCUCUCUGUGGCCUCCAUGCAAGUCCCAAGGAUGAGGGCAGGACUGAGACUGGUGUUGUUAUGCUUCUGUACCACGACAAUGGGAGGCAUCCAGUGGAUGGCCCUGAGCUCCCUGCAGCCUCUAGGUGAGCCCUCAAGAAGAGGCUGGGACUGGGAUGGGGUCCUCUGAGUUGCUGUGUAAAGACAACAUGUGGAGUCUAGCCCUGAGUCCCUGCAGCCUGUAGGCAGUCUUGAAGAAGAAAGCAGGACUGGAUCUGGUGUCCUCAAAACUGCUGUGCUGGGACAAGAGGAGUCCAGUAGAUGGCCCUGAGAUCCUUGAUGCAAGUGCUAAAGAGGAAGGCGCGACUGGGACCGGCAUCCUCUGAGUUGCUGUGUUGGCACAAUAGGAAUAGUCCAGCAGGCAGCCCCAAGCUCUCAGUGGACUCUAGGAAAGCCCUGAGGAAGAGAGCAGGACUGGUAAUAGCAUCUUCUAAGCUGCUGUGUCAGGUCCAGGAGGAAUCAAUUAGGCAGCCCCAAGCUCCCUGUGGCCUUCAGGCAGCAUCAGAGAAGGUACAGAGGCAGCUUUCUGUUGGAGAAGCAGCAGACUUUGAUUUGGACAGGAAGAAGGACUCAAGUUCAGCAUAAUUCCAGUUGCUCCAUAAGGACUUCUAUUUCAAAACUGGACAAUGUUUAAAAGAACAAUACAAAAUAACAACGAUAAGAAAAACUUUGUUUCUUUUUUUCUGAAACAGAGCCAAGGUUCCAUCAUGAAAUGAGAGAGGGGAAAAUGGAGACAGGAAAGAAAACACGACAGAAGAUGAUAUUUGAACAGCUUGUUAAUUGAGGGGGUGGACAAAAUCCAGUCAUGCUCUUAAUUUGAAGUAUCUUGCUUUGCUUCUGUCUUCUGUAGAGUAAAUUUAUUAACUUAUUAAUAGGAUUUAUUUGAGAGCACUGCGCAUCUGUUCUGUUUUGAAGCUGCUACUCGCUAUAUGCUUAGACCCUUGGUAGCAAGAAAUAAGUAAUCAUAUUGGAUAUCCAAAAUGGCAACGUAUGAACAGGGCACGGUCAAGAAUCCCUUAGGAGUUUAGUUUUUAUGGAACUUCAACAUUUUUGUGCUGUAGAGAGAUAGUAAUUCUAAAACUUGAAGGAGCUGGGGUGGGAAGAGUGGGCUGAUGGCUACAUCUGCACAGGGAAGAAUAUUUUGGUUAUAAUUCUUGGGCGUCUGCCCAGCCACCUCUUCUUCCCACCUGCAGCAUUGCUCUCAGAAGGCAAAUCUAAACACUGUCAUCAGCAACAACAAGACAGCUCUCAGCAACUUUGUUCUGCAUCUUUCUCUAUUGCAGUAGGGGAAGAGAAGCUUGCAUCUGCUAUCUCCAAAGAGACCAGCAAGGGAGCUUGGUCUGCCUACUGAGAACAACUCUGCAGAUGCACCAGAUUUCAUUUUAUUGUAAUACCAAGUCAGCUUGCUGUUAUCACUCUAUGGCAUAACAAAUGAUAGUGUUUCAGGAGACUAUUUAAGAGUCUGUGUUAUAAUAAAGCAAGCUUCAAUGCUUU
This is a long non-coding RNA of Lagopus muta (rock ptarmigan), 2040 nucleotides long. RefSeq lists it as uncharacterized. The record is from RefSeq and is a predicted model, not a curated record. Lineage: Eukaryota; Metazoa; Chordata; Aves; Galliformes; Phasianidae. The transcript has 3 exons.